RNAcentral lists this ribosomal RNA (524 nucleotides) under uncultured bacterium. RNAcentral describes it as "bacterial SSU rRNA". It matches the Rfam family "Bacterial small subunit ribosomal RNA", at positions 985 to 1509 of the family's 1533-position model. The record is from RNAcentral.
AGUCCAGCGAACUUGGCAGAGAUGCCUUGGUGCCUUCGGGAACGCUGAGACAGGUGCUGCAUGGCUGUCGUCAGCUCGUGUUGUGAAAUGUUGGGUUAAGUCCCGCAACGAGCGCAACCCUUAUCCUUUGUUGCCAGCGAUUCGGUCGGGAACUCAAAGGAGACUGCCGGUGAUAAACCGGAGGAAGGUGGGGAUGACGUCAAGUCAUCAUGGCCCUUACGAGUAGGGCUACACACGUGCUACAAUGGCGCAUACAAAGAGAAGCGACCUCGCGAGAGCAAGCGGACCUCAUAAAGUGCGUCGUAGUCCGGAUCGGAGUCUGCAACUCGACUCCGUGAAGUCGGAAUCGCUAGUAAUCGUGGAUCAGAAUGCCACGGUGAAUACGUUCCCGGGCCUUGUACACACCGCCCGUCACACCAUGGGAGUGGGUUGCAAAAGAAGUAGGUAGCUUAACCUUCGGGAGGGCGCUUACCACUUUGUGAUUCAUGACUGGGGUGAAGUCGUAACAAGGUAGGCGUAGCGAG